GGUCGGGUAACACAGCAGGUAGUGUGCCCCGCUGUUAACGGGGAAGUCCUAGGUUCGAGUCCUAGCCCGACCGCCA
This 76-nucleotide transfer RNA is filed under the name Nanobdellota archaeon. RNAcentral describes it as "tRNA-Asn". It matches the Rfam family "tRNA". Rfam says of the family: Transfer RNA (tRNA) molecules are approximately 80 nucleotides in length. Their secondary structure includes four short double-helical elements and three loops (D, anti-codon, and T loops). Further hydrogen bonds mediate the characteristic L-shaped molecular structure. tRNAs have two regions of fundamental functional importance: the anti-codon, which is responsible for specific mRNA codon recognition, and the 3' end, to which the tRNAs corresponding amino acid is attached (by aminoacyl-tRNA synthetases). tRNAs cope with the degeneracy of the genetic code in two manners: having more than one tRNA (with a specific anti-codon) for a particular amino acid; and 'wobble' base-pairing, i.e. permitting non-standard base-pairing at the 3rd anti-codon position. Lineage: Archaea; Nanobdellati; Nanobdellota. The record is from RNAcentral.